CUGUUUUUUGUAUUUUUAGAAAAGAUGGGGUUUCACCACAUCCAGGUUGGUCUCGAACUCCUGACCUUAAGUGAUCCACCUGCCUUGGCCUCCCAAAGUGCUGGGAUUUCACGCGUGAGCCACUGUGCCCUGGCAAUUAGCCUUUCAUAAAAUGCAUUUUAUAGUAAGUUUUUUUUUUUUUUUUUUUUUGUGAGGCAUCCCACUACAUACAUUUAAGUCUUAUUUCUACUGGGUAUGGUGGUAGAUGCCUGUAGGCCCAGCUACUCAGAAG
Molecule: long non-coding RNA, 271 nt
Filed under: Homo sapiens (human)
Lineage: Eukaryota; Metazoa; Chordata; Mammalia; Primates; Hominidae
Description: HSALNT0284584
Source: RNAcentral